Molecule: ribosomal RNA, 394 nt
Filed under: uncultured bacterium
Lineage: Bacteria
Description: bacterial SSU rRNA
Rfam family: Bacterial small subunit ribosomal RNA
Source: RNAcentral
GACGAACGCUGGCGGCGUGCUUAACACAUGCAAGUCGAGCGGUAAGGCCCCUUCGGGGUACGACGAGCGGCGAACGGGUGAGUAACACGUGGGUGACCUGCCCUCCAGCUCUGGGAGUAAGCCUGGGAAACGUAGGGUCGUAAUACCGGAUAUGACUCCAUGACGCAUGUCGUGGGGUGGAAAGCCUUGUGCGGCUGGGGAGUGGGCCCGCGGCCUAUCAGCUUGUUGGUGGGGUGAUGGCCUACCAAGGCGACGACGGGUAGCCGGCCUGAGAGGGCGACCGGCCACACUGGGACUGAGACACGGCCCAGACUCCUACGGGAGGCAGCAGUGGGGAAUCUUGCGCAAUGGGCGAAAGCCUGACGCAGCGACGCCGCGUGAGGGAUGACGGCCU